Molecule: ribosomal RNA, 902 nt
Filed under: human gut metagenome
Description: bacterial SSU rRNA
Rfam family: Bacterial small subunit ribosomal RNA
Source: RNAcentral
AGAGUUUGAUCCUGGCUCAGGAUGAACGCUAGCUACAGGCUUAACACAUGCAAGUCGAGGGGAAACGACAUCGAAAGCUUGCUUUUGAUGGGCGUCGACCGGCGCACGGGUGAGUAACGCGUAUCCAACCUGCCCACCACUUGGGGAUAACCUUGCGAAAGUAAGACUAAUACCCAAUGAUAUCUCUAGAAGACAUCUGAAAGAGAUUAAAGAUUUAUCGGUGAUGGAUGGGGAUGCGUCUGAUUAGCUUGUUGGCGGGGUAACGGCCCACCAAGGCAACGAUCAGUAGGGGUUCUGAGAGGAAGGUCCCCCACAUUGGAACUGAGACACGGUCCAAACUCCUACGGGAGGCAGCAGUGAGGAAUAUUGGUCAAUGGACGAGAGUCUGAACCAGCCAAGUAGCGUGCAGGAUGACGGCCCUAUGGGUUGUAAACUGCUUUUAUAAGGGAAUAAAGUGAGUCUCGUGAGACUUUUUGCAUGUACCUUAUGAAUAAGGACCGGCUAAUUCCGUGCCAGCAGCCGCGGUAAUACGGAAGGUCCGGGCGUUAUCCGGAUUUAUUGGGUUUAAAGGGAGCGUAGGCCGGAGAUUAAGCGUGUUGUGAAAUGUAGACGCUCAACGUCUGCACUGCAGCGCGAACUGGUUUUCUUGAGUACGCACAAAGUGGGCGGAAUUCGUGGUGUAGCGGUGAAAUGCUUAGAUAUCACGAAGAACUCCGAUUGCGAAGGCAGCUCACUGGAGCGCAACUGACGCUGAAGCUCGAAAGUGCGGGUAUCGAACAGGAUUAGAUACCCUGGUAGUCCGCACGGUAAACGAUGGAUGCCCGCUGUUGGUCUGAAUAGGUCAGCGGCCAAGCGAAAGCAUUAAGCAUCCCACCUGGGGAGUACGCCGGCAACGGUGAAAC